This 285-nucleotide unclassified non-coding RNA is filed under the name plant metagenome. RNAcentral describes it as "partial contains small subunit ribosomal RNA, internal transcribed spacer 1, and 5.8S ribosomal RNA". The stretch from base 1 to 54 matches the Rfam family "Eukaryotic small subunit ribosomal RNA", at positions 1778 to 1831 of the family's 1831-position model. The record is from RNAcentral.
GGAAGUAAAAGCCGUAACAAGGUUUCCGUAGGUGAACCUGCGGAAGGACCAUUAUUGUAUAACCGAGGUGCGAGGGCUGUCGCUGACCCGAAAGGUCGUGCACGCCCGAGUGCCCUCACACACAUCCAUCUCACCCCUAUGUGCACCACCGCGUGGGUCCCCCUUUGGCUUGUUCGGAGGGGGGCUUACGUUUUCACACAAACUUUGUAUGCAGUGUAGAAUGUAUUUUUUGUUUUUGCGAUCACGCAAUCAAUACAACUUUCAACAACGGAUCUCUUGGCUCUC